AACAAUUCUUCAUCUCCACCGUCUAAGAGAGCGUUGUUUCAUCUUCUUCCUAAAAAUCUUCAUUCAAUUUAUUUUCCCUUUUCACAAAGCGGUGGAUCUCAAGCUAUUAAAAGGCAGGCGUCGUUCCUUGACCAUCAUUCUUCACAAUUCUAUAUAGUCAUUAAAAGUUCUUCAUUAAAAAUCUUAAUUUUACAAGACAAUUAGGUCCGCUCGAUUUCUACUCCGGCCACCUUAUCUGAGAAACCGUCAAAUUUUGACGAGGAAUAGGGAAGGCAGAGGAAAUUGCAAGAACAGCGUUGUUGAUGUUGUUCGUGAGGAAGCUUUUGGGCAUCUACCAAUUUGCAAAAACAACCACGAGAAAAGGUUGCAGAUGAUGAUUGUACUCAAAGAAUGGCAUGGAUGCAUUUGAUAUACCCCUUCUUCUACCACAAUUUAUGUCUUCUACAUCACCUCUAUUUGUGCUUAUGGUGGCAUGCGGUAUGAUCCCCACGACAAAAUAUCUGUGGAAUGGGAACCCACUGGUGCAUUUUACUUUGUUGUGCCUCAUGUUAUAUUACUGAGUUUGGUGGAAGCUCGAUGUUGGAUGCAACUCUUGCUUGGGACAAUGAACUUUCUUGGACGCUGGAGAAUGCUAUUGAAGCACUUUAGGAGACUAUGCUUCAGGUGUCUUCUGUUGUGAUGAGGUUAUGAAGGGGGUCUCUAGGAGUAUUUGUUCUUAGCAAGAAUCAUGUUCGACAAAAGGAACGUAUUACCCUGCUGUAGAGAAGGCUUUGUAGAUGAUUAAGCAAAACAGUUCAUCUCUUAGGCCUCAAACUGCUUCAACUGCGCGGGAUAUUGAGAUAGAAUGUGACUUACUAACCAGCAGCCCUAAAGAUGAUCUUGAGUUCUCUAUUGUACAAGAGAAUAUAUGAGACAAGUUAAACCUCAAUAUGUGACAAAAAACUGUGAGGAAGCUUGCAAGAUUGCAACACAUAUAUUCUCAAUUGGUGGGGAGGCUGAGGAGAGAAGUUGACGAGCUGUUUGCGGGCUUUCAGCAGAAGAAGCCAAUACUUUUGAUCAAGGAAAAGAGGUGAAAUAUCACCUGUUUUUGUGAUUUUUUAUUUGAUAUAUAUUUUUGAGAAUUGCCAUUUUUUCUUCUAUCCAUGUACUCUUGAGAAUUGAAUUGCCAUACUCAUUCGUUAUGAUCAAUAUAUGACCGGAUGAGAAUAUCUUUAAAAAAUAUAUUAAUAUCAAAAGCUUUA
Brassica oleracea var. oleracea is the source of this 1241-nucleotide long non-coding RNA. RefSeq lists it as uncharacterized. The transcript is spliced from 8 exons. The record is from RefSeq and is a predicted model, not a curated record. Lineage: Eukaryota; Viridiplantae; Streptophyta; Magnoliopsida; Brassicales; Brassicaceae.